GCCAGCAGCCAUAUCACCCUGCAGCUCUCAACUGGCUACCCACUGAAGCUAAGCAGGAUGGAGCCCAGUCAGUACCUGGAUGGGAGACCUCCUGGGAAGCUAUGGUUGCUGCUGGAA
RNAcentral lists this ribosomal RNA (117 nucleotides) under Lepisosteus oculatus (spotted gar). The record is from RNAcentral. Lineage: Eukaryota; Metazoa; Chordata; Actinopteri; Semionotiformes; Lepisosteidae.